Molecule: long non-coding RNA, 1545 nt
Organism: Arvicola amphibius (Eurasian water vole)
Lineage: Eukaryota; Metazoa; Chordata; Mammalia; Rodentia; Cricetidae
Exons: 3
Source: RefSeq, a predicted model, not a curated record
AGUUAAAUAUUAUCUCACUUGAGCUUUGCCUUCGAUUCCUCGUUUUGCAGCUCUCGUGACUCCCAGUGGUUUUGGUCAGAGACCCUGGCCAUUUUCAUUCUCUUUAAAAACAGCUUCUGGGCAUCAUGACAGCGUGUUUGGAAACACUGUGGCAUAUCUGUGGUGAUUAAACUUCACGGAAACAUCUGGAUUCCAGGCUCCCACAAGCCUGGGUGGCUCCCGUGCAACCCCCCACUUAGGCCCUGGUUGAAGGAAUCUCAAGUGUGUGCCACCAUAGCCAGUGUAUGUGCUUCUGAGGAUUAAACCUAGGGCUCUGUGGCCGCUGGACAAGGACUCUACCAACUGAACUACAUUACCAGGGAUGUGGAGGUUGACUGCAAACACAAGGUAUGUUUGAUGAAAAGGCUUUCAGGUCUGGAUCCUGCCCUGUGAUUUGAGGACAGUUCCCAGGAGAGUGCCGACUGUAUUGUGCAGUGGAGUUGCCUAGGAUGACCGGGAGAGUUUCCUGUGAUGGACAGGCAGUGUCCAGGAAGUGGCAGGUAAGUUGAUCUACAUCGAUAAGGACAUGCACAUCAUGGUGCCAUAGGAUUCAGAGUGAGGAUCUUUCCUGAACACAUCUCAGUGCAAGCAUCUUGUGGUGCCCUCAGCAGGGCAUCAUCUUGGCAUACACUGAAGUGCUCUAACAGAGCUUUUGAAGUGGAAGCAACAAAAAUGGAACACAGGGAGAGUAGGGCCAUAGCUACUCUUCUGUCCAGUCUUGUUAUCAUUGCAGUGUUUGUGCCAACAAAGGAAUGCUAAAAUACAUAGCCCCUUUUGCUAACUGAACACACUCCAGGGGUCUAGAUUUUCUCCAUAAAUUUGUCUGUGUUUUCAGAGAUGGUGGCCCAUGCCCUGGUCUCUGGAUUCUGCAGGGGAGCCCUGUGCUGCAGGGAGGUGCAGUCUGUGGUCACCCCUGUCCAUAUCAGUGAGGCUACACAUCAAGAGGCAGAAGCUGUGUGCACAAUAGCUUUAUUUCCUCUCACACCUGGAACUCCCCAGAGCUGCUGAAAAGCAGAGGUGCAGUGGUCUCUGCAUCAUUAUCAUGGACUGAGGCUACAUGUCUGUAGGACCAAGCGUAUCCUAAGGAUUCAACAGGUAUUGGCGAUUCUUAGCAAUAGUAAGCUUACAUCCAGAGCCAGAUGGAGUCAGAGUACUCCAAUGUCCUCUCUUCAGUCUGGGGACAACUGAAUAGACUCUGGACUGGAGCCAAAUGUUCUCCAUAAAACAGUCGAAGGCCAAAUGGUCCCUGAGGUCUCUGCUCACCUAGCAGCAACUGGUCUGUGCAUUCCCUUUCCACACACAUUUGCUGAGCCUCAGCUACGUGUGUGGCCCAGAUCCAACCUGUGACCUCAAGAAUCCAGGGUGCAGUGCCCAGGUGGCCGCAAAGACAGCAUUACAUCACGAAACCUCCUCUGUGAUGCCUCCCCAUCUGCCUACGAUACAGUUGGCCAGUUAUGAAGGGCAUGUCGAGUGCCAGAGUAUGGAAUUUGGAGUUAGUUAAGUGUG